UUACGGCCAUAUCACGUUGAAACACCAGUUCCCGUACGAUACCGGACGUUAAGCAAUGUCGAGCCUGGUCAUUACUUGGUGAGUGACCGUUUGAAUAUACCCGGUGG
Molecule: non-coding RNA, 107 nt
Organism: Acanthosepion pharaonis
Lineage: Eukaryota; Metazoa; Mollusca; Cephalopoda; Sepiida; Sepiidae
Source: the annotation of a GenBank genome assembly